CUUAACAAAAUAAAAAAUCUAGAUAUUUAAAGCGAAUAUUCUAAAAUCGGUCAUUAAAGCACCGACCCAUUGCCCAAUCAAAAGAAGCUUGGGAAACCGUCUUCAGUCUUUUCUGUCAUCUCUUUUCAUUAUGACGAUUUCAUUUCGAAGAUAUGCCAAAAGAAAUCGGUUCGUUUCCUUUGCUGUUCAAAGCCUUUCUUUCUUCAUUCUUUCUCUCUGAAGACUUCUAAUCUUCUUCACAUCUCCCAUCCAGCCGAGCUUGGUCCAUGGCAUAAUCUGGAACUCCCCUAUCCAGGUAAAACUCUUCUCCUCUUCUUAACGAUUCUGUUGCUAUGAUAUGAGCAAGACCAUUUGCUGAUCUAGGUGUAUGUUGAAAUCUGAUAUUAUCAAGUCCAAAUAUUUCCUGUUGAAUGUCAUAAAUAUAUACCCCCACCAUAGAUCUAUCUUGACUCUUUGAUUUGCAUUUCUUGACUAUUGUGAGGGAGUCUCCUUCAAGAAUCAAAUGCUGCAAUCCCCUCCUGAUUCCCAUUUGAACAGCUUUCCGGCAGGCAAUCGCUUCAGCAGCAAAGGCUGAUGAAAUAUUAAAAUGAAUCUCUGAACAUGAAAAAAGAAUAUUACCAUCCGAAUCUCUGGCCACAAUACCCACGCCCGACUGAUUCUUUCCUCUAUCAAAUGCGCCAUCAAAGUUGAUCUUCAUGAAACUUGCCUAUGAGGACGACCAUCUCUUUUUUUCUACGGUACAAUUCAAAUCUCUCUUCUCAAGACCAUUAAUCUCACUGAUGUAGCUGUUUAUAAGAUUUGCAACUUCCGUUCCAUUUCUAAUUUUACCUUCAUGUAUUCUUUUGUUUCUGUCUCCCCAUAUUGCCCAGAGUGCACAACAAAAUACGCGAGUUUGGUCAAGGCUGAGCUCCUCUAUUGCCCAGGUAAUCCACUGUACAAAAUCCUCACAUUGAUUCCUUAAAAUGCACUGAAACGAUAAUGUUCUCCAUACCUCCCUUGUAACAUGACAGUCACGAAAUAAAUGGUUCAUUGUUUCAGCUCCUUCUCCACAUCGGGGCAGCUUGGAUUUGCUACUAACUUUCGGUGCUGGAGAUUCACCUUUAUAGGUAGAUAAUUCCAAGAUAUCUUCUAUAUUGUAACCUUAAUUUUAGCUGGUAGAUUCAGGCACCAAAGUUUUUUGUAAAAAUUUCCAUAGAUGGUCUGUAAAGCAUAAGCUCUAGGAUUUUCAGUCAAUUUUUGUAAUAGUUGAUAGGCGCUUCUGACCGUGAACUCACCUGACUGUUCGCCUCCCCAGAUAAGAAAAUCAUCAUGCGGUGUUUGUGCCAGAGGAAUUCUGAGGAUUCUAGCUGCGUCGUCUUUCAGGAAGGUACUAGAAAUCAACUCUUUUUUCCAACUUCUGGUAUUAUUAUCAAUCAACUCAUCAACUUUAACAUCACGCAUAAAAUUAAUAUCUGAUGAUAAUUUAAAAUUAACAGAAUCUGGAAUCCAAGCAUCGUUUAUGAAAAUAUUAGUACCCGUCCCCACCCUCCAACAAUGCCCUUUUAUCAAUAAGUCCUUUGCUGCCCAAAUGCUUUUCCAUACAUACGAACUAGAAUUUCCUAAACUGGAAUUUAAGAAAUUAUCAUUCGAGAAAUACUUAGCUUUAAACACUUGCGUAACGAGCGCAUUCUGAUUGUUCAUAAUCCUCCACCAUUGCUUAGCCAAUAAAGCAACAUUGAACUGUACCAUAUUUCGGAAGCCCAUACCACCCUCAUCUUUAGGCCUACACAUGAAUUCCCAUUGACACCAAUGAAUUCCUUUCUUUCCUUUUCCUUUCUGCCACCAAAAUCUAGCAAAUAAAUUGUCAAACUUAUCAUAAAGCGAUUUUGGUAAUAGAAAACAUGUCAUAGCAUAAGUAGGAAUUGCCUGAAGAACUGAUUUAAUGAAAACCUCUCUACCCCCUUGAGAUAAGAAGUGAGAACUCCAAUUAUCAAUCCUUUGCUUUAUUCUGUCUUUGAGAUUCUGAAACGAUUCUUUUUUCUUCCGGCCUACAAUAUUUGGCAAUCCAAGAUAUUUUUCCAUAUUAUUUGAACAUCUUAUUCCCAAAUCAGCCGAUAACUUGCCUUUAUCCCCCUCCUUCAAAUUCGAGCUAAAAAAGAUUAUGGAUUUAUUAAAGUUAACGCAUUGACCAGAACAAGCCUCAUAUUCUUUCAAAAUAGCUUUGAGGUUCCUUGCACUGCUUUCGGUGGCUUCACCAAACAAAAUGUAAUCGUCUGCAAAUAAUAAGUGUGAUAUUAUCGGGCCUCUUUUGCUGGCUUUCACCCUUUUAAUCAACCCCUCUUCUGUAGCAUUCCUGAUUAAGGACAAUAAACCUUCACUGCAAAUAAGUAAAAGAAAAGGGCUAAGUGGGUUACCUUGUCGGAGUCCUCUGGUUGGUUCAAAGACUCUACCAUUCCUUCCAUUUGUAGUUACAACAUAAGAGACUGUAGAAAUACAUCUCAUUAUUAAUACCACCCAUUCCUUCGCAAAUCCCAUUCGUAUCAUAACUUCCUUCAAGAAAGCCCAUUCCACCCUGUUGUAAGCUUUACUCAUGUCAAGCUUUAUUGUCAUAAAACCGUUCUUCCCUUUACGUUUUUUUCGUAGUGUAUGCAGAAUUUCAUAAGCAAUCAAAACAUUAUCUGAAAUUAGCCUCCCCGGGACAAAUGCACUUUGAGCACUAUCAAUGCAUCUUCCAAUGACCUCCUGAAGACAAUAGCUUUAGUAAUAAUUUUAUAAAGAACUGUACAUAGACUAAGUGUGGGUUUGGAUGGGCGAUUGGGUGCUGUGCGGUGCGUUUAGCUUACCUUUCGUCUCACGUUAUAGUAUCGCUACAGUAUCUAAUCUCACCGCCACCGCUGUUUUUACAUUAACCGCAGGUAAACGCACCGCCCAUCCAAACUCACCCUAAUUGGUCUAAAAUCAGCAAGGUUUGUAGGAUUGGACUUCUUCAGAAUAAGGGUGAUCUUAGUUACGUUUAACCCUUUCACAUCUUUUCCAUUAUUUAAAACUUUUAAACAGAAAUUCCCAAUAUCUUCUCCCACUAUAUCCCAGUAUUUUUGAAAGAAUAGAGCCGGGAAACCAUCAUAACCUAGAGCUUUUGUUGAACCCAUUCCUUUUACUGCAAUGUAAAUCUCCUCUAUCGUAAACUUUUUCAAGAGGAUUUCAUUUAUAUCCGAAGAGAUGCAAUUCUGAAUACCUGUUAGAAGAUGAGAAGGAUCUCCAACGCUUGUAGUCGAGAAAAGCUUUUGAAAAUAUUGCGUCGCCAUCUCAUUAAUUUCUAACUCCUCAGUAAUUCCUUUCCCAUCAUCACUAUCUAGCCUAUUGAUUGUAUUAAUUCUUCUCCGCAUUGAUGCAUAUUCACGAAAAAAUGUUGUGUUCUUAUCCCUUAACUUUAGCCAAUUAGCUCGUGCUCUCUGUUCCCAAUACAUCUCCUCCUUUUCGAUUUCCAUGCUCAAAUGGAUUCUUUUAUCAAUCAUCUUGUUCAUAACAUCAUCAAGUUCCUUCUUCAUUAAGUCUUCAAACUCUUUUGAAAUUCUUUCCGUCAUUCCCUUUCGCUGCUUCUUAAUGGAUUUAGCCCAUUUCAAUAAACUAAUCUGCAAGUUCUCAAGCUUUUCCAAAAUCGAUCCAUUUGGAGACUUCCAGGCUUUUCGAAUUUCUUCUUCUAUUGACUCCUCGUAGUCCACCAAGCCUCAAAUUUAAAGCUAGGGACUAUCUUGAAUCUGUUUAAAUUAAAUGUGCUUAUUAGCAAAGGACAAUGAUCCGAAAGGGUAGACGUCAGAUGAUUAAUAUUGCCCGUUGGAAAUAAUUCCAUCCAUUUUUCAUUCGCAACACCCCUAUCCAAUCUUUCUUGUAUAUUCGUCUCUGGUAAAUUCCCUCUUUCCCAUGUAUACCAUACUCCUAAAUAUCCCAAGUCUGAAAGGUGACAUUCUUGUAAAGUUUCCUGAAACGCUGCCAUCUUCCUUUCCUCCCUCGGCAGACCUCCCAUUUUUCCAAAAGAAUAAGCUAUUUCAUUGAAAUCUCCACUCACUAACCAAGGAUACUCUUGCUCCUGUUCCAAGGUCUUUAGUAAAUCCCAUGAAGCAUUUUUAUUUUGUGAGUAGGGAGAGCCAUAAAACCCUGUGAAUCUCCAAUUUUCAUGAGCACCCUCUCCUUUAACCAGCACAUCAAUAUGACUUAUUGACAAAGAUCUAAGGUGAAUCUGAACCUCCUCCCGCCAUGCUAAACAAAUCCCACCUCGCGUACCAACAGCUCCUACUUCAAGUCCAUUCGUGAAGCCACACCUUCUUCUAAUUGCUUCCAUACGUUUUUCACUUACUUUAGUCUCCAUUAAGAAGACUAAUUGAGGAUUAUUUUGCUUCAGUAAAAAUUGAAGCUUCCUUACUGCCCGUGGACUCCCCAAUCCACAGACAUUCCAGCAUAUGAUUUUCAUUGCACUCGGUCGGCUUGCCCAUUGGCAGCCGCUGAUCCUGUUUGGUUGGAAAAUUCCAUUUGUAAAUUGGUUUCAUCCUUCGUAGCUAGAUCCUGUUUAACAUGUCUCGACCUUUUUGGAUUCUCUUCUCGAAUCUCUUUUACCCCAUAUUCAUCGUGCACUACCUCUGCCAAUUUCAUUUUUUGCAAUUUACGAUCAGCCUCAUGGUUCUCCUUCCCUCCUACUAUUUUCAUUCUUUUCCAACUAGCUUUCCUGUCUAAGACCGGAUUAUUGACGAGACUAUCUACAGUAUCUCCUUCAUUGAUACCUACUUCCUUGUGUGAUUCAAGAUCUGCAACAACUGAUGCCAAACAAGUAUAAUCCUGGAUCCCUCUCACUAAACCACUACUUUGCUCCCUGUACUGAUAUUCUUCCUGAUCCUUUGUAAUGCCUCCAACAUAAGAGCAUUGUGAUUGUGAUUUUUUCAAUAAAGCACUAAACUUUAAACUCUCCCUUCCCACUAACGUUGAUUCUUCUUUUAAUGCUAAAGAAAAAGGUGGAUCCAUUUUAAUUCUGUUUUCUCUGCAGGAGUGAAUUCUGAGCAAUCGUGGAUACCAUGCCCCAACUUGCCAUAUCCAAAACAGUAAGUCGACAACUUUUCAUGGAAUCCAAGAUUUAUUCCCACUCCCUAUUGAAACAAAAAUACCCCUACGAAGAGGUUUCUGAACAUUUAACAGCACUCUAAGCCGACAAAAUUCACCAAGAAUUUCAGAUCUAAUUACCCCUCCGAAAGUGACUCCUAUAGCAUGCAAAAGAUCUUUUUUGUCAAACUCUGGUAGACACGGCCCAAUUUUAAUCCAAAACGGUGAUGAGACAAGUCGAAUUUGAUCUCUUAGCAUUGACUUAUUCAACCGAUCGAACAGGAUUAAUUGCUUCCUAAACAACCAUGGUUGGCCUUCCAGAACAGUUUCUAAAUCCUCUUCUAAUUGAAACGCAAUCAAAAAGAGAUUUUGUCCAGCAACUUGAAUCACAAAUUUCUUCUUUGUCUUCCAAAUACUCCUCAUAUGUACUUUGAAACUAUCUUGAUUGUAGGGUUUAUUUGUCCAUACGGAACAAAUCAAAGAGAAAUUGUUACUUGGCUCCACCAUCGAACUUUUAAUCGAAAGUUGAAUAAGAUCUUCUGUUAAUAGGGCAAUAUCAUCUCCCCCAAACCCAUCGUUACCACCACUCUCCAUUAUCCCAAGUCGCAGCAGCCACUGUUUUCGCUAGGAUACCAAGGAUAGCACUCUUGGUUUCUAGGGUUUUUAAGUUGUAAUUUGAAUUCUAGACAAACCCUAUUUUCAAAAAAAAUUAAAUGAUAUUUUAAUUGAAAUGGUAAAAUUAAAACUUAGUAGUUGUGUAAGUUUUUUUGUUCUAUGAUGUCUCUGAGCCUAUUCAUUUUAUAUAAAAAAAGACAAAAUACACUCUUCAUAAUAUUUGUUACUUUUUAAAAUCAAGUCUUUUUAGUCAUUUUUCAAAUGAUUCAGUGUCGGAUUGAUUCAUGAUACCAACUAAACUAAUAACCUAAACAUAAUGUAGAUAGAUGAGCUAAUGCAAUGGAAUUUGUUUAGGACAAUUAUUUUAUACAUUGAUAGUGUAAUUAAAGAAUCAUACAAGCGAGAUUAAGAAUCUGCCAAACACCUUUAAAUCAGAAGGGUUAUUUUGACAUAGUUUACUUUUGUAAGUAUUGGUGUGAUGUUUCGUAUAAAAAGGCUCUCUUAAGGAAAUUUAGUUCAAAGAAUAGUAAAUUUCCAAGUAAUUUGAGAUUCCGAAAUGAUAAUUUCCCAUUUGGAUUUAAAAUAUUACAUUUAGACGAUAAUUUUACAUUCUCAAUAGUGUUAAAAUUUCAAAAUUUCAAGGGUAAUCUCAAUACCACGUUUUUGUAAUGUAAUGUAAGAUUAUCGUGAAAAUUCAAGGGUUUAGAAAUUUUUAUCCAAAAUUUAACAAUUUUUUUUAUAAGUUCUGAUGAUAUCUGCUCUUUUUGACACAAUACUUUAAAUUACCCAUAGCUCCUCCCCUCCUCUUAAAUAAGAGGAUGAUGCGUUUUAGUACA
Molecule: long non-coding RNA, 6518 nt
Filed under: Gossypium barbadense (sea-island cotton)
Lineage: Eukaryota; Viridiplantae; Streptophyta; Magnoliopsida; Malvales; Malvaceae
Description: long non-coding RNA (GBAR_LNC018155)
Source: RNAcentral